UAGGGAAUCUUCCACAAUGGACGCAAGUCUGAUGGAGCAGCGCCGCGUGAGUGAAGAAGGUCUUCGGAUCGUAAAACUCUGUUGUUAGAGAAGAACACGAGUGAGAGUAACUGUUCAUUCGAUGACGGUAUCUAACCAGCAAGUCACGGCUAACUACGUGGCAG
RNAcentral lists this ribosomal RNA (164 nucleotides) under uncultured bacterium. RNAcentral's name for it is "partial 16S rRNA". It matches the Rfam family "Bacterial small subunit ribosomal RNA", at positions 355 to 511 of the family's 1533-position model. The record is from RNAcentral.